This 71-nucleotide transfer RNA is filed under the name Mannophryne collaris (collared poison frog). Its description in RNAcentral is "tRNA-Trp". It matches the Rfam family "tRNA". From Rfam's summary of the family: Transfer RNA (tRNA) molecules are approximately 80 nucleotides in length. Their secondary structure includes four short double-helical elements and three loops (D, anti-codon, and T loops). Further hydrogen bonds mediate the characteristic L-shaped molecular structure. tRNAs have two regions of fundamental functional importance: the anti-codon, which is responsible for specific mRNA codon recognition, and the 3' end, to which the tRNAs corresponding amino acid is attached (by aminoacyl-tRNA synthetases). tRNAs cope with the degeneracy of the genetic code in two manners: having more than one tRNA (with a specific anti-codon) for a particular amino acid; and 'wobble' base-pairing, i.e. permitting non-standard base-pairing at the 3rd anti-codon position. The record is from RNAcentral. Lineage: Eukaryota; Metazoa; Chordata; Amphibia; Anura; Aromobatidae.
AGAAACUUAGGUUAAACUUAAACCAAGAGCCUUCAAAGCCCUUAAUAGAAGUUAAAAUCUUCUAGCUUCUG